RNAcentral lists this ribosomal RNA (305 nucleotides) under uncultured bacterium. Its description in RNAcentral is "bacterial SSU rRNA". It matches the Rfam family "Bacterial small subunit ribosomal RNA", at positions 335 to 637 of the family's 1533-position model. The record is from RNAcentral.
UUGCCUACGGGGGGCAGCAGUGAGGAAUAUUGGUCAAUGGGCGCGAGCCUGAACCAGCCAAGUCGCGUGAGGGAUGACGGUCCUACGGAUUGUAAACCUCUUUUGCCGGGGAGCAAGCGUGCGUUCGUGAACGCACGUCGAGAGUACCCGGAGAAAAAGCAUCGGCUAACUCCGUGCCAGCAGCCGCGGUAAUACGGAGGAUGCGAGCGUUAUCCGGAUUUAUUGGGUUUAAAGGGUGCGUAGGCGGAAUAUCAAGUCAGCGGUAAAAAUUCGGGGCUCAACCCCGUCGUGCCGUUGAAACUGAU